AUCUGGACAAAAAGAUGACAACAAAAGUGGACGUAACAAAAACGGGGUCAGAAUUGAAAAAUGAAGCCAAACGCCUCCUCCUCCUUUCUGCCGAUCAGUUUGAAGCUCAAAUAGAGAGCAUACAAAAGAGGAACGAAUC
This 139-nucleotide non-coding RNA is filed under the name Palpitomonas bilix. The record is from RNAcentral.